GAGGAGAAAACAGAGGGUCAACAGUGGAGCACCAACGACACAUCCUCACCUCUCUGUGAAAGGCUACUGAGGCAGGCAAGCAAUUAACAAUACACACACAACACUGGAGGAAUGCAGGUCAGGCAGCAUAUAGGAGAGGAAUGAGCAGUCCACGUUUAGUCAAUUAACAAAUUUAUCCAGUGCAAUGGUUAAUGUGCAUACAGUCCUGUAAGUGAACUCAUGAGGGGGGGCAUUUAGGGUAUACUCAAGCAAGCUUUUCUCCACUGAGGUCAGAUGAGACGACUAGAGGUCACAGGUCAAGGACGCAAGCUGAAAUGUCUAAGGGGAAUACGAGUGGGAAUUUCACUCGGAGCACGGCUGGUGUGUGGAACGAGCUGCCUGUGGAAGCGGUAGACAUGGGUUCAAUUCCAGCAUCUAAGAGGGAUUUGGAUAGGUACAUUAAUGGGAGAGGUAUGGAGGACUAUGGCCCAAGGUAAAUUAAUAGUUCGGCACAAACUAGACGGGCCAAAGGACCUACUUCUGUGCUGGUAGCGUUCUUUGACUCAAUGACUGUGUAAUGCUCUGGUUAAGGAUUUUACUGCUCUGCUAUAGGCAUUUCAUAUUAGCAGUUCUGUAAGAACGGUCUAUUCUGUUUUUAGAAAUGCUUGGGUCUUGGCUAAAAGAUAAGAAGCUACGAUGUUCAACUUAGCAACGUGGUGUCAGCUAAUCAGGAUGGCAGAAUCAGGAGAAAGUUCGAGAGAGUGGGGCGGAGAGAGAUUUGAAAUGGACAAUAUGGUUUGCGGUUUAUUUUUUGGGGGGAGUUACGGAGAAGACAGCAGGGAAGAUGGCUGCGGACGCCGUGGGAAGGGGCAUCCCUGUUUCACAUGGUGCUUUGUGCAGAUGAAUGGCUCCAAGGAGGAGGGGUCAAUACCCCCGAGAGAGAGCCCAUUACUUCAAGAUGGACUUUGAGCGAAGAUCGGAAUGUGGUGUGUGCUUUCAUGCAGAACUUGGGUCCAGCGGGUGAGUAAACAGACAACUUCAACGUGAGCUCCAACCUCGCCUGCAGCACAGCAUGCACAGGACCAGUCAAGUUUUAAAAGGACAGAAAAUGGAAGAAUUCAUGGAUUCAUAAACAGCGAAUCAAGAUGCUCUUCCUAGAAGAUGAAAAAGGAAGAAGGAGGGUUCCCAGAGCUGUCGUGCACCCUUCUGGGGACAAAAAAGACCAUUUCUUGCAGUCUUGGAAUCAACUCCUACAACACACCACAGAGGAGGAGGCAGAACCUGAGAUUGUUUCUCUGCCGCAAGCCUCACCUGCCAAACAGAGCGAUUCCCUCACUCACCCACAUCAAGCAAGAAAUCCUCCACAGGAAUUAAAUCUUUAGGCCCGAAUGAGACAACCUAAAAAAGACUAUACUGUACUGAGGCUGCAUGAUAAUAGUUCACUGUGCAUAAAGUUGAGAUGUAUAUUGAGUUGAAGUUUCCAUUUAAGCAGGGAGGAGUAAAUAUAUUGUUAGAUUAAGCAUUCUUUGUUUACAUGGUUCAUUGUGGUUAUAUGUAACAAUGCAUGGAUGGCUUACAAUGCAACGUGUCACAAUGCGCACCUCACUUAAAGUUAGUCUUGCAUUCCCAGCUUGCUUGUGUUUCCUUUGAAUUAAACGUUUUGAAGUUACUAAACAUAACACUGCUUUUUGUAGGACAGAUCGUUGGUGUUUCCAUACCAGGCUGUGAGGUAGCCAGCCCAAUACAUUCUCCACCACAUAUCUAUUGAAAUUUGUCAGGGUUUUAGAUGCCAUGCUGAAUCUUCACAAACUCCUCAAGAAGUAAAGGCACUGCCAUGCUUGCUUCAUAACUGCACUUGCGUGCUGGGCUCGGGACAGGUCCUCUGAAAUGAGGACACUGAGGAAUUUAAAGUUGCUGACUCUAUCCACCUCUUAUCCUCCAAUGAGGACUGACUCAUGGACCUCUGGUUUCUUCAGUAAUCAGCUUCUUGUUCUUGCUGACAUAGAGUGACAAGCUGUGGCACCACUCGGCCAGAUUUCCCUUCUCCUUCCUAAAUGCUGUAUCCUAACUGGUGGUAUCACGAUCUUAUCUGGAAACACCAAUGCCCACGGACUGGAAAAGUUACAGAAAGUGGUGGAUACAGGCAUCCUAUCACAGGCUAAGCCCUCGCCACCACUGAUCACAUCCACAGGGAUGGUGCCACACGAAGGCAGCAUCCAUCAUCAGGAGCCUCCACCAUCCAAGCCAUGUUCUCCUCUCACUACCACCAUCGACCGGGAGGUACAGGGGCCUUAAUUCUCACACCACAAGAUUCAGGAGCAGUUAUCAUCCUACAACCAUCAGGCUUCAGAACCAGCAUGGAUAACUUCACUCACCACAACUCUGAAGUGAUUUUAUGACCCAGAGGUCGAGUUUCAAGGACUCCUUACAACUCACAUUCUCAGUAUUG
Molecule: long non-coding RNA, 2428 nt
Organism: Hypanus sabinus (Atlantic stingray)
Lineage: Eukaryota; Metazoa; Chordata; Chondrichthyes; Myliobatiformes; Dasyatidae
Exons: 3
Source: RefSeq, a predicted model, not a curated record